CAAUAGCGUAUAUUAAAGUUGUUGCAGUUAAAAAGCUCGUAGUUGGAUUUCUGGUCGGAAGCUCCUGUCCUCUGAUGAGCGUACAAGUGCGUCCUACCAUCCUUCUGUUAACCUUUAAGGCUUUCGCGGCUUUCUAGGGGCUCAGAUAUUUUACCUUGAGAAAAUUAGAGUGUUUCAGGCAGGCUCGCGCCGGAAUACAUUAGCAUGGAAUAAUGGAAUAGGACUUUUGCCUCUUCUGUUGGUCAUGAGGCUCGAGUAAUGAUUAAUAGGGAUAGUUGGGGGCAUUAGUACUUAACUGUCAGAGGUGAAAUUCUCGGAUUUGUUAAAGACUAACUUAUGCGAAAGCAUUUGCCAAGGAUGUUUUCAUUAA
Molecule: ribosomal RNA, 370 nt
Filed under: uncultured eukaryote
Lineage: Eukaryota
Description: partial 18S ribosomal RNA
Rfam family: Eukaryotic small subunit ribosomal RNA
Source: RNAcentral